Molecule: unclassified non-coding RNA, 363 nt
Filed under: soil metagenome
Description: partial contains 5.8S ribosomal RNA, internal transcribed spacer 2, and large subunit ribosomal RNA
Rfam family: 5.8S ribosomal RNA (bases 1-121)
Source: RNAcentral
GAUGAAGAACGCAGCGAAAUGCGAUAAGUAAUGCGAAUUGCAGAAUUCCAGUGAAUCAUCGAAUCUUUGAACGCACAUUGCGCCCGCCAGUAUUCUGGCGGGCAUGCCUGUUCGAGCGUCAUUUCAACCCUCAAGCUCUGUCUUGCGCUUGGUGUUGGGGAUCGGCCCUGCCCGCCAGCCCGGGCGGGCCGCCCCCGAAAUGAAUCGGCGGUCUCGUCGCAGCCUCCUCUGCGUAGUAAUUCAGUUAUCCUCGCACUUGGAGCGCGGCGCGGCCACUGCCCGUAAAACGCCCAACUUCUCAAGAGUUGACCUCGAAUCAGGUAGGAAUACCCGCUGAACUUAAGCAUAUCAAUAAGCGGAGGA